Molecule: RNA transcript, 2898 nt
Organism: Syngnathoides biaculeatus (alligator pipefish)
Lineage: Eukaryota; Metazoa; Chordata; Actinopteri; Syngnathiformes; Syngnathidae
Exons: 3
Source: RefSeq, a predicted model, not a curated record
UUCAUUGUGGACUGUGAUUUUGGGGGUUUCCCCUCUCCAAUCAAACUUUUAUUCUUUUAAUUCUUAUGAACGAAGUGUUGAGCAACCCAUUUUCCUCAGGCUUUCAAGAAAAAAUGCAUGCUGAACCGAUGCUGGCUUCAUCCAUAAAAUGUUUGUCAGCACCCAAUGCAUCUUUUUGGUAAUAUUCUAUUUUUUUUUAAUUCAGAAUUCAAAUCUGAAAUUCGUUAUGAAGGAAACCAUUUUAUUUUAGAUUCUCGGCAAAAAUUGAUUGUACAUUGCUUGAGUCGCUGGAAAAACACAACAACACAGCGGAAUUAGACGAUGACGCGAUAUGUCACUAAAGGUGACAACAUGGCGACCGAUUGGCGAUUGUGAGAACGACGAUGAAUUUUCCGAUAUUUCGAGCGAUGAACGCUAUUCUGAAGGGUCCCAUGAAGACGGCGAAGAAUACGAGCUUCAUAAAGGCGUCAUCAAUUUGAGCCAGUUAGACAGCACACACGUUCGAAUGGAGAUGAAAUGGCUGGCCAUGAAGUAGUAGAUAUAUGGCUCGUAUUGGAAACAACAAUUGGUUAGGUUGGAGGAGGCAUGGUUCCCUUUCCCCCCAUUUCCCCAUUUUCUCCAGCUCUUCUGGGGGGGGAUCCUGAAGCAUUACCAGGCAAGACGAGAGAAACAAUCCCUCCAGUGAGUCUUGGGUUUUCUCCAAGUUCUCGUACCAAUAGGAGGUACCUGGAACACCUCACUGGGGAGGCGCCUGGGAUGCAACCGAAUCAGAUGCCUCAGCCACCUUAUAUGAGUCCUUUCAAUGCAGAGGAGCAGCAGCUCAACUCUGAGUACCUCCUGGAUGACCAAGCUUCUCACCCUAUAUCUAAGGCAGAGCCCGGACACCCUACGUGCGAACACCUACAGUGGGAGUUUGGGAUCAUGGAUUGAUGAAACCAACAGAAGUACAUCAUCUGCAAAAAGGAGAUGGAAUACUGAGGCCACCAAACCUGACCCCCCAUGUCUGACUCUCCAGCAUACGACCUUGAAACGAAUAAAGAUCUUCCUUUAACUGCCUCCCUGUCUACCGAGUCGUGCAUUUGGGUCCGCCCUAGCGUUCUGGUUAUGACAGAACGAUCUGGCCACGACAUGACGGAGCCGAUGCAGGUUGAGGGGCUUGAUGGUCCGGCAGCAACAUCGGCGAGAAGGCCGAUGCUUUUACUGUGGAUGCCUGGGCACUUAAUAGCCUACUGUCCGGUCAGGCCCAAGCGCUCUGCCCUCAAGAUCACGACUGCGGGGAGUGUGAAUGACACCGCGGUGGGAUCGAGUUGAGCACUGCUUCGAGUCACCUUGAGCACAGGGGGUCGUACUUAUUCCACUACGGCCUUUAUUGACUCGGGAUCAGACGCUAACCUGAUUAAUCCAUGGGUAGUUGAGGCCUUGAGCGCUGUGACCUUUCAAAUACAGCAGUUCCGCAACACAUUCGCUGCCAAUGGUAAAUUCCUUUGCCGAGUAACUCACCGUACGCAAUCUCUGAGGAUGACAUUUCUGGACACUCACACCGAGAAGAUAAGUUUCCUUGUAUUUAACUCGCAGAGUACCGAUGAAAUCUUGGGCUUAAAAGGCUGUCUUAAAAGACACAACCCACACGUUGACUGGACCACCGGUCAAAUCAGGGCAUGGGCCGAAGAAUGCAGUUAACGCGAUGAUGGAUUCAAGAUUUGUAUUACACUAUUGUUAAGUUGUUACAAUAUGGGCUGUUCCUACAUAACAGGCUUCCAUAGAGGAAUAUACUUUUUCAGGAUACUGGAGAUACCUGAAAAAAUAUAUAUUUACAUUUUUUGCCUUCUCACUAAAAUGUAUUUGUAUACUAUAUUUCUAUUCUUUCCUGAGAAUAACAAACAUCGCACAACACUAGAAUAAACAACUUUGGUUUACUGUGGUGAUGACAUCGUAUUAUAUGCAUGGGAUACUUAUUUAGUCAUUAAAUUGUGUAUUUAUUAAAUUUUAAUUUUGAUAUGCCAUGAAAUGUCAAUGUUACCGCAUCCCGUCUAUAAAUUUAUAGAAUAAUAUUUAAUGGAAGUAACAUACCAGGGUCUCUCUUCAACUCUACACACACACUUUCUUAGGUCAACAGUAGAAGGAUCCACCCCAAAGAUUAACUUAUCUACCUGUAUCCAAUUUUCAUGUUCACUGACCUCAUGAGCAGCAUCAUUUCGGGAUUAGUCUUGGAUAAACAAGCCAUGCUCCACUUUCAAAGCCUCGAAAGAAUACUAUGUUGCAUAUUCAGUUUAAACAAUGUAUGAGAGGCACAACAUAACAGUAAGUAGAUAGAUAGAUAGAUAGAUAGAUAGAUAGAUAGAUAGAUAGAUAGACAGACAGACAGACAGACAAUAACAUAAUGAAGACUGAUCAUUGGAGAAGUGGCUGGCGUAAAUGUUAACUGCGAUGAACUGGAGAAUGAUCAGAGGGAAAGGGAUUUGUGUGAAUGUUACAUUAACACAUUAACUGUAAAGUGCAGGGAUAAAAUGUAAACAAAUCUAAUGUUCAAAAUGCACACAGUACAUAAAUGUAAGAUAUUGAAAAUAUUGCAGAAAUUAGUCUUAAUCAUAUGAUGUUAUGAAGAUCAUACAGUAAAUCUGAAAUUGUAAUAUUUGUAGUGCGGCGUGAUGAACAUAACUGAUACAAAUCCAUGCAAAGACAAGAAAUAAAUUAUAGGCCUAAGCCAAUGGGCCAUUCCACACAAAUUCCCUCUUUCAUCUAUUUUCUGAGCCACUUAUCCUUAGAAGGGUUGCAGGAGUGCUGGAGCUUCUCCCAACUGUCAUCAGGCAGGAGGCAGGGCACACCCUUAACUGGUUGCCAGCCAUUUGCGGUGCACAUGGACAUAGACAACAGUCACACUCACAAUCACACCAGGGG